CGUUCUAUAGCCAAAUUGGUAAUGGCAUCACCAAUCACAGGCGAGGGAUGCGGGUUCGAGUCCUGCUUGAACGG
Molecule: transfer RNA, 74 nt
Filed under: Operophtera brumata (winter moth)
Lineage: Eukaryota; Metazoa; Arthropoda; Insecta; Lepidoptera; Geometridae
Rfam family: tRNA
About the family: Transfer RNA (tRNA) molecules are approximately 80 nucleotides in length. Their secondary structure includes four short double-helical elements and three loops (D, anti-codon, and T loops).
Source: Rfam by way of RNAcentral